GGAUUAGUUAUUGUUGAUUGAGAGAGAAAGACUUCUUUAAAAAAGCGUUUUUGUUAAGGAGUCUGGGAAUCAUGGAAUCAUAGUGACCAGUAACUGUUAUGGACUGGAUUGUAUCCCCCUCCAAUUCAGUUAUGGUGCUGCUUCAGAAAGAAAAGAGAUAGUUUCCCUUGCAAAGUUAUCAAAGUGCUCCCCAGAAGACAUUAGGUAUUUGCUUUCUAGUCUACAUACAAUGAAAAGGAAAAAACGUCAGUUCCUGAAGCUCUCUCAAAACAUCAACAGAUGGAAAGACGUGCCCAUGUCCUCCCCUCCCUCCACUCUGGGGGCUUGGAAAUGCUGCAGCAGGGAGCAGGCCCCAGGCUGGACCUGCCCUGUCCUCACGACGAGUGUGUGCAAAAGUGAACAAUAAAUCAUUUCAAAGAUGCAAGGAAGAAAAACCAAAACAUCAACAGAAUCUUCUUUCCCAUAAUCUUCAUGCACCUCCUGGUCCGGAUGAGUUUAUGUUCCCAUCUCCGAGCACAGGGAUUGAUUGUGAUGGCAUUUAUAGGACUGAGUGCCCCACACUCUGUGAUCCAGCAUGGAGUUAUGAUUUACAUCACCACAGGAAGAGUACAGAGGCUUCAACAGAAAAAAAGCAAAAACAACAGACCUUCAUUCAGCUUAGGAACAUAAUAAAUAGGACGAAGUUGAAUAAACGAAAUGGAGGGGAGUGAAGUAUUCCAGAUGGAAGAGGCAGUACGUGGCCAAGAGGAAACAGACCAUGUGCGCUGGAGAAAAAGGAUGGCCAGACUUGCAGAAACCUGGAAUUGGUGAUUGGCUUUAGAAGUGGAGAGACAAAAAAGGAGGCAUAGAAAGUGCCAACAUUUGGCUACACAGGGAAGAAAGACGUAAAAUAAUAAAAACAUUGGCAUCACCUGUAGACUCAAAUCCUGUGAGUGAAGGACCUGAGCAAUGAAGGAUGGAUUGAACUCGUGAUUAGCCUUCUUCAGCAUAUGUAAAAUGAUGUCUGCUUUUCUUCUCUAUUUGUCAUUUUACCGACUUUUUAUAUAUAGUAGUUUCCCCAUAUCCAUGGAGGAUGUAUCCCAAGACCCCCAGAGGAUGCUUGAAACCACAGAUAAUAACAAACUCUAUGUAUCCUAUGAUUUUUCCUGUACAUCCUUACCUAUCAUAAAGUGAGUGUAUAAACUAGGCACAGGAGAUUAAAAACAAUAACUCAUAAUAAAAUAGAACAAUUAGUACAACCUAAUGAAAGUUAUCUGAAUGUGAUCUCUCUCAAAAUAUCUUAUUGUAGUGUACCAUGGGUAACUGAAAUGAUAGAAAACAAAAUUGCUGAUAAAGGGGGAUAUUGUAGUAAAAUAAAGGGGGAUGGGUAGAGCGUAGGAAGCAUUCACAAUUAGAACAGUUGGCAGUAGGGAAAGAAACAUACUUUAAAUUGGAAUGUGGAUCACAUGGCUGCCUCCUGCCAGUCAUGAUCGCAGGGUACAGAGGCCUCUGGUAUGUCAGGUCUUCUCUCCCACCACUAAUACUGCCCAAAAGACUCCAUCAGCAACCAGAGCUGAAUCACACACAACCCAGAUUGUCAUUUCUGAUGACUUUGACUUAAACAAACAGACAUAUUUUUAAUCUUUUUAGUGUGUGUGAAACUAGCAAGGCCUAAUGAAUUGAGUAUAUGGAUGAGGUUUGUGGCCUCUGUAACGUUUUCUCCAACCAGAACCUACUGAAAUAGCACAGAUGGUGAUGAGUAUGGUUCAAACACAAGAAUUCUUGGGUAAGUGACAAGAAUCUCGGUCUCCUGCCAUUUCCAUCUCUGCAUUUACUUACUGUGUGAAUUUGGACGAGUCAUGUAAUCUUCUGGCUUCAGUGUGUUUAUCUCUGUAAUUAAUAUGUUCAGUAACAGUUCUUCCCUCUGACCUAAAAAUAACCACUUCUUCCAAAGGUAUAUAUUAGAACUAUAUACAUAUAUACUAUACAAAUAUCUAACAUUUAUAUACUUAAUAUAUGUAAUAAACAUACUACACAUGUAAAUUUAAUGAUCUACCCUAUUCUCAGCCUCUACUUUCCUCUGACAAUGACAUCAUUCAAAUACUCUAAAAAGCUCAUAUUAUAGAAUCUUUAUAUUUAAAAAAGUUUUGUAAUGCUCUAAACUUAAUUGCAUAUUGCUAAGUGAAAGAGGCCAGUCUGAAAAAGCUAUGCACUGUAUGAUUCCAACUAUAUGACAUUCUGGAAAAGCCAAAACUAUAGAGACAAUAAAAGUAUCAAAGGCCUUUAGGGGGUUCAGGGAAAUGGGUGAGGAAUUAAAUAAAUGGAGUACAGCACACUUUUAGGGCAGCGAAACUAUUGUGUAUGGUACUCUAACAGUGGAUAUGUAACAUUACACUUUUAUCAAAACCUAUAAGCCCCAAACAGAAUGUUGUAAAUGUAAACUCUGGACUUCAUUUAUUUGUAGAGACAGGACUUUAGUUAAAAGUCCAUAUUGGUUUAUUAAUGGUAGCAAAUAUACCACACGAACGCCAGAUGCUAGUAAGAGCAGAAACUGUGUUGGGAGGAGGGAAGAUGUAUGGGAACUGGACUUUCUGUGCAGUUUCUCUCGGUAAACCUAAAACUGCUCUAAAAUUUUUCUAUUGAAUUUUUCAAUUAUUCCAGUUAUUCUCUAUAAAUUAGCAUACCUAUUGGCCCCCAAUUACCUUGCUAAUUUUAGGUUACUUAUUUUUAUAUGGUUCUCGAUUUAGUCUCCUUGGGCAAAUAGUAAACUGCAUGGCUUUUACUCUCUCUGACUUUCUUUUUCUGUCCUUCACAGAAAUUGAAGUUGAAGUAUAAGGAGAAUUUUUACAUCACCCAGGUUCUAAUUUGGAAGGUUUCUAACAGCCCUCUGUCCUCUUCUGGUGCUCACUGUGAAAGAAUUUGCACCCUGCAACACUAAGUGUUUGUGCUAGAAUCCACUUCUGAUGUUGGCUGCUCUGACACAGCUUCCAUUCGGUAUUUAUGUUGAGUUCUUUCAUUUUAUGUUGCUCUAAUAGAAUACUUUAGACUGUGUAAUUUACAAAGAGUGAAGUUUUAUUUCUUACAGUUCUGGAGGCUGGGGAGUCCACCCCAGGUGCUGGCAUCUUGUGAGAACCCUCCUGCUGUGUCAUUCCAUGGCAGAAGGCAAAAGUGCAAGAGAAUGCCAGAGAGCAAGAAGGGGAAGAACUCAGUUUUAUAACAAACUCACUCUCAAGAUAACUAACCCAUUCCUGCUAUAGCAACAUUCAUCCAUUCAUGAGGGCAGAGCCCACAUGACCCAAUCACAUCUUACUUGGCUGCAUCUCUCAACACUGUUCCAUUAGGAAUUAAGUAUUUAACACAUGACCUUUGGGAGACGCAUUCAAACCAUAGCAUAUGUCCUCUAUGCAGUUGCCUUGUCUAGAUGUAGGACACUGAGAAUUUACCACCCUUCCAGCAUUGACGUGCUCUCUAGGUGGCUCAAGAAUUCUUGGCUGUGUCUCCACCAGGCUUCAAGACCCUCCAUUAGCCUGGCUUUUGGACCUCUGUGGUUCCAGCCCUUGCUAGACACGGGUUUCUCUAAGAGAUCUGUAUUCUCCACAGUCUGUAUACAGAAAAGAUAGUCUCAAAUCUCCUCUGAUUUAGGGCCCUGAUAAAAAUUACUUGGUCUUCUACUCUACAACCUCACCAUACCCCUUCAGGUUUUGAACCUGGGAGAGACAGAAUAUGGAACACUUUCUUAAAAAUAAAUGCAUACUUGACAUUAAUAAGGGAUUUACAAUCUAUUCACUAUGAAAUCCUCAGGAACAUGUAGGUUUUUCCAAGAAGUAAAAAACAAUUAUUUUCAUUUAAGUCAUAUGUCAAUUAACAAUAUUUUUUACACAAUUAAAAAUCUCAUUUUUGUUAUGAAAUGUGAAACACAUUUCCUUUGUUUUUGAGGCAGGGUCUCACUCUUGUCGCCCAGACUGCAUUGCAGUGGGGUGAUCUCGGCUCAUUGCAACCUCUGUCUCCCGGAUUCAAGCAAUUCUCCUGCCUCAGCCCCCCAAGUAGCUGGGUUUACAGGUAUGUGCAACCAUGCCCAGCUAAUUUUUUUUUGUAUUUUUUUCAGUAGACAUGGUUUUUUUUUUUAAAUUUUAUUAUUAUUAUACUUUAAGUUUUAGGGUACAUGUGCGCAACGUGCAGAUUUGUUACAUAUGUAUAUAUGUGCCAUGUUGGUGUGCUGCACCCAUUAACUCGUCAUUUAGCAUUAGGUAUAUCUCCUAAUGCUAUCCCUCCCCACUCCCACCACCCCACAACAGUCCCCAGUGUGUGAUGUUCCCCUUCCUGUGUCCAUGUGUUCUCAUUGUUCAAUUCCCACCUGUGAGUGAGAACAUGUGGUGUUUGGUUUUUUGUCCUUGCGAUAGUUUGCUGAGAAUGGUGGUUUCCAGCUUCAUCCAUGUCCCUACAAAGGACAUGAACUCAUCCUUUUUUAUGGCUGCAUGGUAUUCCAUGGUGUAUAUGUGCCACAUUUUCUUAAUCCAGUCUAUCAUUGUUGGACAUUUGGGUUGGUUCCAAGUCUUUGCUAUUGUGAAUAGUGCCGCAAUAAACAUACAUGUGCAUGAGUAGACACGGGGUUUCACCAUGUUGGCCAGGCUGGUCUUGA
Molecule: long non-coding RNA, 4618 nt
Organism: Homo sapiens (human)
Lineage: Eukaryota; Metazoa; Chordata; Mammalia; Primates; Hominidae
Gene: CCDC144NL-AS1
Product: CCDC144NL antisense RNA 1
Source: Ensembl